CAGCUCCCCCGCAACCCUCUAGAGGAUAAGCAAUAAAGAAAAUGAAUGGAUGGAUUACAUUUUUACAUGAGGAAUGGUCAUACAGGUGGGAUGUUUCUCUCUUCAUCUAAGCUUUUAUAAAUUCCCACAGACUUUCUAGCAUGUCACAUGAAAAAGCAGGACAGGUACAUCCGUCAAAGCCCAAUUGAAGUGAGCGUCAGCAUCAACCAUCUGACAGAGGCAAGAGGUGUGAAAUUAUGUGUUGUUUCAAGUGAAAAAGAUAUGAUUUACUGUCUGACGUCCUGAUGUGAAUGUCUGACAUUUGAUCACGAUGGGUAGAUCACAAAAAUCCCAUCCCAUCCACUCAACUUUGGUGCUGGUAUGUUUGUCAAUGGGAAACUCUCUUUUCACACAGAACGUGACAGAUCAAAACACAUAAAAUACAGAACGUCACUUGAACAGCGAGUAGAAGUUCCUGCUAGGGGAAGUUUGACUUACUGAACCUAUUUACCACCACCCAUCUACCUACUGCUGUGUUCAAAGUCAGAACUCAGGCUUCUCAGACUAUGAAAAAUAAAGUAAAAAAAAGGUCCUAGUCAGGAGGUAGGAUGUGAUGUGCUUACACUGCCAACAGACCACAGUUUCUGGUGCUUGUGAGGAUCCAAACUAACGUAUCCCCAUGUUGUUAGCUCAAAUGCACAGAGGUUAGUAAUGAUGCAUAACCAAAUUUUGACUUUUUACAAGAGAAUGUAGCAUAAUAGCGCAGAAAAACUAACCUUUCAUUUUAAUGAGGAAGGGGUCAAGGAACAUUUGCCUGUACAUACUUGUUUGUAACUGAAGUAAGCAGGAGAGCAGGAGGGUGCAAGGACAGGGAUAUUUGGUAAUGUAUUUAAGUAUUUGAGAAAAUUGUGCUAGCCUCACUAUCUUAUGUAGUUUAUGUAUGCAAUAUUACUUCUUUUCCCACUUGCUUUCCACCAAAGUGAACAAGUAAAUUUCACCCUGCCAGCUCUGGUCUUUCAGACAGUGAGAAGUUACUGCUUCAGCUGCUCGUAAACAGUAGUGGUGUAUUUUGAAUGGGUGGCUGUCAUGAUUCCAGCCUCGGUUUAUUUGUUUCCAUUGUGCCUCUGUCCCUGCCUUCAGCCCCGUACUGUCUUCCCUUGGUUUUGCCGUUCUCCACCUGUCCACCAGAUGCCCCCAGACUUUCUUGCAUUGUUCCCCACACCCACCUGCUCACCUGUUGCAACUCCCCAAUUAUCCUCACCUGCUGCUCAUUGUCUCAUCAGCCCCACUAGCUUAUAUAAUGGACCUCUGCCCUCCAUUCCUUGCUAGUUCAUCAACAUUGCUUUGUUGUAUAUAGACCUUCUGCCUGUUUGUAACCUGCCUGCCUUGCUCUCUUAGUCUUGUUUGGAUGGCCUUUCUGUUGCUGACCUGUAAGCCUGGUUUUGAACAUUCAUUUAUUAAAGCCCUUUUCUUUCAACCUGUCCGUCCCUGGUGUCUGCGUUUGCAUCCUCUUCCUGUUUGCCCCGCUACCUCAUACCCACACCCAUGACAGUUAACAGUGGGGCAUAACUUAACUGCCGCAGCUACUGGCUACAUCUAAGCCUACAACCUGUGGCAGAUGGUACCAUCCACCCUGUCUAAUUUCAACAGACUUUUAUUCCUUAAAUACAGACACUAGAGACAUUGACAGGAAAUGAGGAAGAGAACUGCAACACACCCUGGCCAGACUUGAACCAUGGACAUUGUGGUUAAUGAUGGCCCCUCAACCUCUAAACCACAGACUGGUCUGAUACAUGCUAGCGUGGUGUGAGGACUGGAGAUGUGCAGAUGAGAUGUGACUCCAGGUAACUCCAAAGUUACCUUCCAGUAUUUGCAUGUUGUGCCUUCUUAGCCGGCUUGCUAACGUUACCCACUGGUAAGUGUGUAACAUUGUGGGUGUGGGUACUUUGAAGUUGUUUAAAGUGCUGCUGGUGAGUGACGAAAGUAAAGUAACGAGUAAUGUAACUAAUUACUUUUGCUGUGUGAUUACAUUUUUCAAGUAGUUUUCCCAACACUGGUCCUCUACACUGGCUUACAUGAUCACUGUUGAUACUGUAAGCCUAAUUUGAUGAAAAAAUGUAGAAUAAGCUGAUAGUGAAACCUGUGGCUUCAAGUGAUUAGCGCAAAUGAAAAGCAAACACCCCAACACACACACACACAACCACAGGGGACUGAUAUUUUUAGUCAUGCUAUUCGAUCAACCUGGCUGGCCACUAUAAUGAGGUGAGGGAGAUGGAGGCUGGUUCCUUUCACAGGUCAGCGGACUGACAAAGCCCAGUGUCACAGCCUGGAACCUGGGAGCUGUCUGCUUGCUAGAGUCUGUCUGGGCUACGUGUGCCUGUAUGGGAAUGAUCUGUAUUCAUCUCCACUGCGCUGUGGCCCGCUUCUAUUUAAUAUGUGCCUGCUGUAGCCUCCCAGCCAUCACCUGGCACUGCAGAGUUCAUUCUCAGCGUGUGUUUUUAUCAGCACCUCUAGUUGCUCGCUGCUGAUGAGAACAGCCCCAGCUCAAAGUACCAUCUCAUACCGCAAUCACACCCAUCGAGGUUCAGGGGGAAAAAAACAGGGAAAAAUGAAGAAACUACCCGGUGUGGCGUGGCAGGUGAAAGAGUUCGGCCUUAACUCCUCCUGCUGAACUGAGUCGGGGCUGAUAGAGGACUAAAAGUCAGCCAUCUCCUUGGGGAUAAAGACUUUUAAAGCUGUUAAUCCUCAGUCUGUGGAUGAUUGAGGUGAACGUCUGACAUUUGAAGCCUUUUAUGUUAAAGUUUCCAAAGCUUACGGCUGUGUGUGUACGUGUGUGUGUUCUGUAGCAAUGUAGCUUUGCCAAGACAAUAAAGGUGGUAAACUUUCAGAGGAACGUCCUGUGUGUGUGUGUGUAUGAGUUGGACACACAAAAGGGGAAAUCUGAGCGGUUCUCUUGCCCAGACUAUGACAGCUUGCUGCUCCUGUGCUUAUGAAAAUAAAUGCUGACGAGUGUUGAACUGGCUGGGGUGCGCAGGUGUCA
Molecule: long non-coding RNA, 3019 nt
Organism: Thunnus maccoyii (southern bluefin tuna)
Lineage: Eukaryota; Metazoa; Chordata; Actinopteri; Scombriformes; Scombridae
Exons: 3
Source: RefSeq, a predicted model, not a curated record